GGGCUGAUUUACACCAGUCAAAACUAAAUUUGAAGGUCAAGACUAGUCGAGAAUGUUAAAAUGAUUGUCAAAAACAUUUAUAUCACAAUAAAUAUUGUUGCUUUACGUUAUUUAAGGUACAGAUUGUGUUUUUAUUCACUCAAUAUAUUCAUGAUAUUCAUGGGACACAUACUUUUUUAAUGAAUAGAGGUCAUGGGACAUAACUUUUUUUCCUAUCACAUCAGCAUGGGACAAUACUUUUUU
RNAcentral lists this long non-coding RNA (243 nucleotides) under Mytilus galloprovincialis (Mediterranean mussel). Lineage: Eukaryota; Metazoa; Mollusca; Bivalvia; Mytilida; Mytilidae. The record is from RNAcentral.